This 540-nucleotide ribosomal RNA is filed under the name Cryptosporidium parvum. RNAcentral describes it as "SSU rRNA". It matches the Rfam family "Eukaryotic small subunit ribosomal RNA", at positions 333 to 901 of the family's 1831-position model. Lineage: Eukaryota; Apicomplexa; Conoidasida; Eucoccidiorida; Cryptosporidiidae. The record is from RNAcentral.
GUAUUGGCCUACCGUGGCAAUGACGGGUAACGGGGAAUUAGGGUUCGAUUCCGGAGAGGGAGCCUGAGAAACGGCUACCACAUCUAAGGAAGGCAGCAGGCGCGCAAAUUACCCAAUCCUAAUACAGGGAGGUAGUGACAAGAAAUAACAAUACAGGACUUUUUGGUUUUGUAAUUGGAAUGAGUUAAGUAUAAACCCCUUUACAAGUAUCAAUUGGAGGGCAAGUCUGGUGCCAGCAGCCGCGGUAAUUCCAGCUCCAAUAGCGUAUAUUAAAGUUGUUGCAGUUAAAAAGCUCGUAGUUGGAUUUCUGUUAAUAAUUUAUAUAAAAUAUUUUGAUGAAUAUUUAUAUAAUAUUAACAUAAUUCAUAUUACUAUAUUUUUUAGUAUAUGAAAUUUUACUUUGAGAAAAUUAGAGCGCUUAAAGCAGGCAUAUGCCUUGAAUACUCCAGCAUGGAAUAAUAUUAAAGAUUUUUAUCUUUUUUAUUGGUUCUAAGAUAAGAAUAAUGAUUAAUAGGGACAGUUGGGGGCAUUUGUAUUUAA